UACGGAGGGUGCAAGCGUUAUCCGGAUUCACUGGGUUUAAAGGGUGCGUAGGAGGGUAGGUAAGUCAGUGGUGAAAUCUUCGAGCUUAACUCGGGAACUGCCGUUGAUACUAUCUAUCUUGAAUACCGUGGAGGUGAGCGGAAUAUGUCAUGUAGCGGUGAAAUGCUUAGAUAUGACAUAGAACACCAAUUGCGAAGGCAGCUCGCUACACGAAUAUUGACUCUGAGGCACGAAAGCGUGGGGAUCAAACAGG
Molecule: ribosomal RNA, 253 nt
Filed under: uncultured bacterium
Lineage: Bacteria
Description: partial 16S ribosomal RNA
Rfam family: Bacterial small subunit ribosomal RNA
Source: RNAcentral